GUGGGGAAUAUUGGGCAAUGGGGGAAACCCUGACCCAGCGACGCCGCGUGAGGGAAGAAGGCCUUAGGGUCGUAAACCUCUGUUGUGUGGGAAGAAGAGCGUGACGGUACCACACGAGGAAGUCCCGGCUAACUACGUGCCAGCAGCCGCGGUAAUAUGUAGGGGACGAGCGUUGUCCGGAUUUACUGGGCGUAAAGGGCGCGUAGGCGGUCAUUUAAGUCAGCUGUGAAAUGGUUUGGCUUAACCGGAUCAUGCGGUUGAAACUGGAUGACUGGAGUGCUGGAGAGGCAAGUGGAAUUCCCAGUGUAGCGGUGAAAUGCGUAGAUAUUGGGAAGAACACCGGUGGCGAAGGCGACUUGCUGGCCAGCAACUGACGCUGAGGCGCGAAAGCCAGGGGAGCAAACGGGAUUAGAUACCCGGGUAGUCC
RNAcentral lists this ribosomal RNA (427 nucleotides) under uncultured bacterium. RNAcentral describes it as "partial 16S ribosomal RNA". It matches the Rfam family "Bacterial small subunit ribosomal RNA", at positions 354 to 796 of the family's 1533-position model. The record is from RNAcentral.